Non-coding RNA from Equus caballus (horse), 1850 nucleotides. NCBI's taxonomy places the organism in Eukaryota, Metazoa, Chordata, Mammalia, Perissodactyla, Equidae. The record is from the annotation of a RefSeq genome assembly.
CACAGAGCAGGCUAAGGUGUCCAUCUGCAGCUCAUUACAGACAGUGACACAUGAGGAGAAUUUAGAAGUCAGAAAGCUUCCAGAUUUUUCAAGGAAGAGACUCUUCCAAACGUCUCUGGAAUGUGCUUAGGCAGGAUUCUAGAGCACCAACCAUACCCGUUCUUCCUUGUUCCAAGGGUGCUGUUUCCUUAGCCAUAUUCCUUCCUGCUCAGAGAAGAGCUUUAAAAAGGGUCCCACGACGUCUUCAAUCCUCAGCCAUGAACGUGGCUCCUGCGCCGAUGCUUCUGAUACUUUUUGCCCUGAGAGGAACCGGAGCCCAGUCAGUGACCCAGCCUGACGUCCACGUCACUGUCUCUGAAGGAGCCCCUCUGGAGCUGAGGUGCAACUAUUCAUCUUCUGUUUCACUGUAUCUGUUCUGGUAUGUGCGAUAUCCCAACCAAGGACUCCAGCUUCUCCUCAAAUACACGUCUGGAAACAGCCUUGUUCCAGGCAUCAAAGGUUUCAAGGCUGAAUUUAGGAAGAAUGAAACCUCCUUUCACCUGAAGAAACCCUCAGCCCAUUGGAGCGACUCGGCUGAGUACUUCUGUGCUGUGAGUGACACAGUGCCUGGGACUGCAGGGGGAGCUGAACACAAACUUCUGGUGAAUGUGAGGCUUUCAGUGACACAAGGGGUCAAGCUGGGACAUUUUCAGUAAGAUCUCAUGUUGUAUAAAGACAAGCAGAGCAGAGGGGACUAAACUGCGUAGCUCUUGUGCUAACGUGGUCUUUACUUAAUUUUCAAAGAGUCAGGAUUCAUGAGGAAAGGACACUUCGUGAGAAAAACACAGUGUCCCCAAUAGACUGGAGACUAGACCUUGCUUAGAGAAACGUUUCAAAUGGGACAGUGGCAGGGACUGUUUUGUGUGGCGAUUGCCAUGUGACCUGUGACCAGACAGGAGAGUACUGUGACAGUCUACCCUGGUGGUUUUAAUUCAUUAGUGGCACCCUAGGCUUCACUCUAGCUGAGGAACUUUUCUUAAGGUCCCAUCUGUGUAUGAAUAUUUGACAAACUGAAUGGGGAGAUGAGGAUUAACAACACCUAGAGGAAGGACAGAGGAAAAUGUGAUAAAAUAAAAUCACUAAGCAUACAGGGAGGAUAUUUACUGACUAUUUCUGUCAUUUACUCAGCUCUUCCAUUUUAUCAUAAGCUCAAAAAAAUGGAGCUGAGAUCCCUGUAAACCCAUCCCUGGAUCAGGCUGAGGAGGGCCUGGGCUGUGAUAACAUGGCAGAGGUGAUUACUGGAGUGGAGUUGAGAGUAGACAUCUGUUAGAGCCUAGUGGGGCUGGAGGCUCCAGUAGAAAACAUCUGUAUGGACUAUUUCCUUUUUUCCUAAUUUUUAUAACUAAAAUGUCUUAAAAUGAACUUCUACUCCACUGACUUAGGAAUUACUCAAUAUCCUUGAUGAAAUUUCUUCUCCAAUAUCUCUUCCGAGGAAAAAGACAAAUAAAUGAGGGAAAUAAGGAAUAUAAGUAAAGAGAGGAGAAAAGGGGGAGGUGUAAGACAAGACUGGGGAAAAAGGGAGAAACGUUUUGCUCAAACUGAAAAAUGUGGCCCUUCCCUCCUGUUCACAGAGCAGAAUCAGGCAUGUGGAUGUGCAGCAUGUAGGGGAAAGUGUCUGAUGGGAGAGGAGAGGAGGUGAGAAUGAGAUCAAGGUGGACAUUCCAUACAUGUCCUAUUUCUUUUCCUACCAAGCAAAGUCUAAUUGUAGACAUAUGCUAUCUUCAUGUAUAAAUAUAGAUCUAUAUUUUCUAGACUUACAAAACUAUUUUAAUUUCUUUUAUUUGUAUUUACUUUUCUAUCAAAGGGGGUUA